UACGGAGGGAGCUAGCGUUGUUCGGAAUUACUGGGCGUAAAGCGCACGUAGGCGGCUUUGUAAGUUAGAGGUGAAAGCCCGGGGCUCAACUCCGGAACUGCCUUUAAGACUGCAUCGCUUGAAUCCAGGAGAGGUGAGUGGAAUUCCGAGUGUAGAGGUGAAAUUCGUAGAUAUUCGGAAGAACACCAGUGGCGAAGGCGGCUCACUGGACUGGUAUUGACGCUGAGGUGCGAAGGUCAGGGGAGCAAACAGG
This 253-nucleotide ribosomal RNA is filed under the name uncultured bacterium. RNAcentral's name for it is "partial 16S ribosomal RNA". It matches the Rfam family "Bacterial small subunit ribosomal RNA", at positions 524 to 776 of the family's 1533-position model. The record is from RNAcentral.